RNAcentral lists this ribosomal RNA (448 nucleotides) under uncultured bacterium. Its description in RNAcentral is "bacterial SSU rRNA". It matches the Rfam family "Bacterial small subunit ribosomal RNA", at positions 355 to 825 of the family's 1533-position model. The record is from RNAcentral.
UCGGGAAUUUUGGGCAAUGGGGGAAACCCUGACCCAGCAACGCCGCGUGAAGGAUGAAGUAUUUCGGUAUGUAAACUUCGAAAGAAUAGGAAGAAUAAAUGACGGUACUAUUUAUAAGGUCCGGCUAACUACGUGCCAGCAGCCGCGGUAAUACGUAGGGACCAAGCGUUGUUCGGAUUUACUGGGCGUAAAGGGCGCGUAGGCGGCAUGACAAGUCACUUGUGAAAUCUCUGGGGCUUAACCCAGAACGGCCAAGUGAUACUGUCGCGCUAGAGUGCAGAAGGGGCAAUCGGAAUUCUUGGUGUAGCGGUGAAAUGCGUAGAUAUCAAGAGGAACACCUGAGGUGAAGACGGGUUGCUGGGCUGACACUGACGCUGAGGCGCGAAAGCCAGGGGAGCAAACGGGAUUAGAUACCCCUGUAGUCCCUGAGCGGGCUGGCAAGGCGCAU